Oncorhynchus nerka (sockeye salmon) is the source of this 789-nucleotide long non-coding RNA. RefSeq lists it as uncharacterized. Lineage: Eukaryota; Metazoa; Chordata; Actinopteri; Salmoniformes; Salmonidae. The record is from RefSeq and is a predicted model, not a curated record. The transcript is spliced from 3 exons.
GGAUCGUUACGUCAUCAAACGUCACGUAAACACUUUCAGCUGGGUCUUUUUGCUAGCAGCAGAACACUCGCUAGCUUGAUCACAUUCGUAGUAUUGUAUUCUUUCUGAUCUGUCAUCUCACCAAUACCGAAUGAUAGUUUGACUGCUAUCAAAUACUACCAAAACUCGAGUUAAAUUGACGGAUUGGAGGAAUCUCUCGCUUGUUUCGUUAUAAAUUUAGCUGGUUAGCUAGCUAAAGUAGCUUAUAGCUAGAUAGUUUAUAACGGCGGAAAGAGACGAUGAGACGUUAACCGAGAAGUACACUUGUUUACUGACAUAAUCUGCAUACAUACUAGGAUAGUGACAGUUAAUGCUAAAUUAUCAAGACUAACCAGUCAAGGGUUGUUUCCUUGCUAACCAAAGAAGCUGUUCAACAAGCUAGCAACCAGAUAAGAUCAGAAUGCCUUGACUGGUCGUGCGGGGAAAGCUCUGCUGUACGUACGAAAAUAGAUUUUUGCUCGACCAAGAGUCGUUCCUUCACGUCCUUUACAUCCGAACGUGCUCAGAGUCUUCUUUGUAACCAAAACAACCCACUGACAAUCGUCUGCCAAAUGUUGACAGAAAACAGGAAGCGGCGGCGGGGUGGAGACAAUGAGGGGGACCAGCUGGCGAAAAGGUCAGGAGGGGGACAGGAGGGUCACGCCCUGGUGUCCAAGCUGGGCCAAGAUGUCUGGGACUCUGAGUCGUCCGGCAGUGACAGCAGUAGUGGUAUCAGUAGUCCUGAGAGGGCAGGGGGAGGAGCCAGCACCC